GGGUGGAGGUGGGGCGGUUGGGGUAUGGGGGCGGGGCAAAUACCCCACAAGGAGUUUAAGUUAGGCAGAGCACAACCCUCCACAGCUCCCAUUGGUCAGCAAACGGACAAAGCGCUUGGACAGAAAGCAGAAACAAAGAACAAACAGAAAAGUCCUGAAUGUAGGACAGGUGUGACAAGUCAAGGAAGGACAUGGCACAAGACACACAAGUCCCUCCUGUUGGUCCCUGCUGUAGACGACUACGUGAAAGGGCUUAGGUCCCCGGCUGAGUCUCUGGGAAAGAAUGUUGUCCUUGCCCAGCAAGCCAGCACGUUCCGCUUUCCCUCAAGCAACCAGGCAGAAAGGAUCCCCCAGCAGGAGAGCCCCCACCGCCCGGCUCUACAGCCAGGCCUGGGCACCCAAUAUCUGUGGAGGAUCUACGUCCCAGGAUCACCUCUUCAGCGUCACACUCACCGCUGCACCCCAAAGCCCGCGCAGUUCCGCCAGGUGGAAGAGGAAAAGCUUUCUGCUUCCUCGGCUCACUCCUGUGUGUUCGGACUCACAAGCGGUGUCUUUCUUAGAUGCAGUGUGUCACUUACGCCUGAAGCAAGGGUAGCUCCGACAGAGCCAGGAUGGCAGGGGACCGGAAGGAACAGUGUGAAGCCAGGAACUGGGGCUGCACGUGUCGUCUCCUUGAUCCUCCCAGCAGUCCUGUGCAGGAAGUGUCGUGAUCCUAUUUUGCACCUGAGAAAACAAAGGCUCAGCCCUAAGCAGCUUGUGGCAGGAACUUGCUGCCCUCAUAAAGUGCACUAUUUUGUGGGUUUGUUGUUCAGGCUGGCCUUGAACUCAUACUGCAGCACAGGUGAUGCUCCUGCCUCAGCCUCCUAAGUGCUGGGACUACUGACGUGCAGCACUAUGCUGAUCAUAAAGUGCACUGACUGACUUUUUUAAAUCCCCGAAGGGUCCUUGGAGGCACCUGCAUUGUCCUCACAGAGGACACAGGGACUUGCCCAAGUCAUCUACAAAAGCCAGAAUUCAAAGCCAAGCCCAUGCAGUUCCGAAACACUUCCCCCUGCCUCCAAAUGUCAAUGUUUUCACACUUUGUGGUUGCUUUUAGGCACUGGAAACCUAUGCCUAGGUGUGAUCCAAAUCUUCUCCUCCUGAGAGCCCUGCAUUUGCAGGAAAAUAUUGUGUUUGAGCCUCUACUUGCUGUGUG
RNAcentral lists this long non-coding RNA (1195 nucleotides) under Chinchilla lanigera (long-tailed chinchilla). RNAcentral describes it as "lncRNA (ENSCLAG00000028419.1)". The record is from RNAcentral. Lineage: Eukaryota; Metazoa; Chordata; Mammalia; Rodentia; Chinchillidae.